GUGAGGAAUAUUGCGCAAUGGAGGCAACUCUGACGCAGCCAUGCCGCGUGCAGGAAGAAGGCGCUACGCGUUGUAAACUGCUUUUAACCGGGAAGAAACCCCAGGACGUGUCCUGGGUUGACGGUACCGGAGGAAUAAGCACCGGCUAACUUCGUGCCAGCAGCCGCGGUAAUACGAAGGGUGCAAGCGUUAUCCGGAUUCAUUGGGUUUAAAGGGUGCGUAGGCGGAGCGUUAAGUCAGUGGUGAAAUCCUGCAGCUUAACUGUAGACUGGCCAUUGAUACUGGCGCUCUUGAGUGCGCUUGAAGUGGGCGGAAUGUGCCGUGUAGCGGUGAAAUGCUUAGAUAUGGCACAGAACACCAAUUGCGAAGGCAGCUCACUAAGGCGAUACUGACGCUGAGGCACGAAAGCGUGGGGAUCGAACAGGAUUAGAAACCCUAGUAGC
This 443-nucleotide ribosomal RNA is filed under the name uncultured bacterium. Its description in RNAcentral is "partial 16S ribosomal RNA". It matches the Rfam family "Bacterial small subunit ribosomal RNA", at positions 354 to 794 of the family's 1533-position model. The record is from RNAcentral.